Long non-coding RNA from Myotis daubentonii (Daubenton's bat), 810 nucleotides. RefSeq lists it as uncharacterized. The record is from RefSeq and is a predicted model, not a curated record. Lineage: Eukaryota; Metazoa; Chordata; Mammalia; Chiroptera; Vespertilionidae.
AUAUGUAGUCUGGCUGGAACCAGAGCGCCCCCUCAAAUGAAUGGGGUCGGGGCUGACAGUGAACUACAGCUCCUCUGGCCGGGAGCGUUGGUGGCGGCGCCGGGCAGAGCGGCGCUCCGGGGAAGGGACGAAGUUCUGUGCCACCGCCAAGGUAGUGGUCUAGGCGGGCGCUUUCUCCGUGCGCGCUCCCCUUCCCCGCGCCCGCUCUUCGCGGUGGGCUUGGUGUUCGCUGGCUGCUGCAGUAACGUGAUCUUCCUGGAGCUCCUGGUCAUGAAUGAAGGCAAUGUCCCUGGACAUGAGCCUGACUGACUGUAGUCUUGGAGAUUCCUGCUCAGGAGGAUAUAGAAAUGUUUCUAGGAGACCUGAGCAUGAGCUGUACAGGCUGACUAGGAUCCUGAAUGAAGUCCUCUUGGUUACGUAAGUGAAGAUCUCAAAAAGGACAUCUGACUGACCAACUGCCUACAGUUUACUAGGAAGGUUGUGUCAUAGUUCCAGGAAGAGUGUAUCAGAGUGGUCCUUCGUGAUGGCCUGGAAGAGUGAAAUAAGGCUUGACGUUCUUCUCUGUGAGGUAUAUUGCUAAAUGUAUGUGAUUCAUGGGACAUGAAAACUGAGAGGACAGUGGGAAGCAUCCAGGAUGCGGGAACAUUGUGACAUUUGCACCAUUUUUAUUUAUUGCUGUGGAAGGCUUCCUCUUUGAAGCCAAUUUGGGGAGGAAGCAGCCAGCUAUCCCAAUAAGGUAUGUACAUUGAAGUCUCUUUUAGCCUUGUUUGUCUUAAAAUAACAUCGCCUAAGAAUCCAGAAACACCAGUC